This 230-nucleotide ribosomal RNA is filed under the name uncultured bacterium. RNAcentral's name for it is "partial 16S ribosomal RNA". It matches the Rfam family "Bacterial small subunit ribosomal RNA", at positions 92 to 339 of the family's 1533-position model. The record is from RNAcentral.
AUAGUGGCGCACGGGUGAGUAACGCGUGGGAAUAUGCCCUGGAGUACGGAAUAACUAAGGGAAACUUUAGCUAAUACCGUAUACGCCCCAAGGGGGAAAGAUUUAUCGCUCCAGGAUUAGCCCGCGUCUGAUUAGCUUGUUGGUAAGGUAAUGGCUUACCAAGGCGACAAUCAAUAGCUGGUUUGAGAGGAUGAUCAGCCACACUGGGACUGAGACACGGCCCAGACUCC